RNAcentral lists this transfer RNA (73 nucleotides) under Petromyzon marinus (sea lamprey). Its description in RNAcentral is "tRNA-Thr (AGT) (tRNA-Thr-AGT-24-1)". It matches the Rfam family "tRNA". Rfam says of the family: Transfer RNA (tRNA) molecules are approximately 80 nucleotides in length. The record is from RNAcentral. Lineage: Eukaryota; Metazoa; Chordata; Hyperoartia; Petromyzontiformes; Petromyzontidae.
GGCGCCAUGGCUUAGUUGGUAAAGCGCCGGUCUAGUAAACAGGAGACCCUGGGUUCAACUCCCAGUGGUGUCU